RNAcentral lists this ribosomal RNA (253 nucleotides) under uncultured bacterium. Its description in RNAcentral is "partial 16S ribosomal RNA". It matches the Rfam family "Bacterial small subunit ribosomal RNA", at positions 524 to 776 of the family's 1533-position model. The record is from RNAcentral.
UACGUAGGGGGCGAGCGUUGUCCGGAUUUACUGGGCGUAAAGCGCGCGCAGGCGGACUGAUCAGUCUGGGGUGAAAUCUCACGGCUCAACUGUGAGCGGUCCCUGGAUACUGUCAGUCUUGAGAUGUCUAGAGGAGAGCGGAAUUCCCGGUGUAGUGGUGGAAUGCGUAGAUAUCGGGAAGAACACCAGUGGCGAAAGCGGCUCUCUGGGGACCAUCUGACGCUGAGGCGCGAAAGCGUGGGGAGCGAACCGG